CCUACGGGAGGCAGCAGUGAGGAAUAUUGGUCAAUGGACGAGAGUCUGAACCAGCCAAGUAGCGUGAAGGAUGACUGCCCUAUGGGUUGUAAACUUCUUUUAUAUGGGAAUAAAAUGUUCCACGUGUGGGAUUUUGUAUGUACCAUAUGAAUAAGGAUCGGCUAACUCCGUGCCAGCAGCCGCGGUAAUACGGAGGAUCCGAGCGUUAUCCGGAUUUAUUGGGUUUAAAGGGAGCGUAGGUGGAUUGUUAAGUCAGUUGUGAAAGUUUGCGGCUCAACCGUAAAAUUGCAGUUGAAACUGGCAGUCUUGAGGACAGUAGAGGUGGGGGGAAUUCGUGGUGUAGCGGUGAAAUGCUUAGAUAGCACGAAGAACUCCGAUUGCGAAGGCAGUUCACUGGACUGCAACUGACACUGAGGCUCGAAAGUGUGGGUAUCAAACAGGAUUAGAUACCCGGGUAGUC
Molecule: ribosomal RNA, 460 nt
Filed under: uncultured bacterium
Lineage: Bacteria
Description: partial 16S ribosomal RNA
Rfam family: Bacterial small subunit ribosomal RNA
Source: RNAcentral